GCUAAAUUAUAGCAUAGAAAAUGCAGGCUUUCCCCCUCCCCCAUGAACUUGCUUUGUUAACAUCUUGUGUUAGGAUCAGGCCAUCUGUACAGGGCUACACACACUUCUUAAUUGUACCUCAUUUUAUUCUGUGCGAGUGCUCUCUUCAGUUAUAUAAAAAAUACUGAAUCUGAAAUAUGCCCUGUAAGUCUGUAAGUAUUGUGUGUUUUCAGAAGACUAUUCAUAUUUUUUAUAACAUUUUGAAAAGCUGUUUCAUAAUUCAUGUAUCAGUUGAAUGUUUUUGUUCCCCCUUGU
RNAcentral lists this long non-coding RNA (294 nucleotides) under Bos taurus (domestic cattle). Its description in RNAcentral is "long non-coding RNA NONBTAT007304". Lineage: Eukaryota; Metazoa; Chordata; Mammalia; Artiodactyla; Bovidae. The record is from RNAcentral.